CDSAUACAUGCAAGUCGAACGCGUUGGCCCAAUUGAUUGAUGGUGCUUGCACCUGAUUGAUUUUGGUCGCCAACGAGUGGCGGACGGGUGAGUAACACGUAGGUAACCUGCCCAGAAGCGGGGGACAACAUUUGGAAACAGAUGCUAAUACCGCAUAACAACGUUGUUCGCAUGAACAACGCUUAAAAGAUGGCUUCUCGCUAUCACUUCUGGAUGGACCUGCGGUGCAUUAGCUUGUUGGUGGGGUAAUGGCCUACCAAGGCGAUGAUGCAUAGCCGAGUUGAGAGACUGAUCGGCCACAAUGGGACUGAGACACGGCCCAUACUCCUACGGGAGGCAGCAGUAGGGAAUCUUCCACAAUGGGCGCAAGCCUGAUGGAGCAACACCGCGUGAGUGAAGAAGGGUUUCGGCUCGUAAAGCUCUGUUGUUAAAGAAGAACACGUAUGAGAGUAACUGUUCAUACGUUGACGGUAUUUAACCAGAAAGUCACGGCUAACUACGUGCCAGCAGCCGCGGUAAUACGUAGGUGGCAAGCGUUAUCCGGAUUUAUUGGGCGUAAAGAGAGUGCAGGCGGUUUUCUAAGUCUGAUGUGAAAGCCUUCGGCUUAACCGGAGAAGUGCAUCGGAAACUGGAUAACUUGAGUGCAGAAGAGGGUAGUGGAACUCCAUGUGUAGCGGUGGAAUGCGUAGAUAUAUGGAAGAACACCAGUGGCGAAGGCGGCUACCUGGUCUGCAACUGACGCUGAGACUCGAAAGCAUGGGUAGCGAACAGGAUUAGAUACCCUGGUAGUCCAUGCCGUAAACGAUGAGUGCUAGGUGUUGGAGGGUUUCCGCCCUUCAGUGCCGGAGCUAACGCAUUAAGCACUCCGCCUGGGGAGUACGACCGCA
This 887-nucleotide ribosomal RNA is filed under the name Limosilactobacillus fermentum. RNAcentral's name for it is "bacterial SSU rRNA". Lineage: Bacteria; Bacillati; Bacillota; Bacilli; Lactobacillales; Lactobacillaceae. The record is from RNAcentral.